CAUUUUAGCAUUUUUUAUGUCACUUUCUCUCGUAGAUGGAAUGUAUUAUGGUGAAUUAUAGUAAUUCGUUUUGUUAAUAUCGAUGAGUGCCUGCGUAUUUCUUAAUAAAGUUGUUCUUAAACGAAGUAAAUAGCCGGAAAUAAAAAAUCAUUCGUAACUUUUAAACGGUUGAACCUGGAUACCUUAACCAAAAAAUCUUACAUUCAGCCAAUCGAAAUUAUCCCGUCAUCCCGUGCGCUCCCGAAAACGACGGGUGGAGAAAACAUGGCGGAAAAGCAGGAUAAAGAAAGAAAAUUUAAGUAGAAUAAUAUCUCGUAUUAUACAAUCUUAAAAAGCAUCGUAUAGAGUGAAAAAAACAAUGUUUAUACCUCUCAAUAUACUAUACGCUUUGUGAUACUGUAAGAAAUUUAUUCGAAACAUGAAGGCGGGAUAUGACGUGGCGAAGUUAAUCAUCGAUGUUUUCCAUACUCUCGUAUCAGCUUUUUCAAGGACAUGUGAUUUCAUAACAUUUUGGAAUUAAAACAGGAGAUUUUAUACGUAAAUUUACUUUCAUUUUCCUGGACAACGAAUGCUUAUAAUUUAGUUAUUACUUUAUAAAUCCCCCUCUUCGUUGUGUGCUGCAUUUUUUCUUUACAUUACGAUUAAAAAAAUGACAACAGGAAAGGUAUUGUGCGGGUUUACGACUCGUCUACUCACGUGAUUAUCCUGUCCCCUUGCAACUUCCGCUUCU
Molecule: long non-coding RNA, 730 nt
Organism: Centruroides sculpturatus (bark scorpion)
Lineage: Eukaryota; Metazoa; Arthropoda; Arachnida; Scorpiones; Buthidae
Exons: 3
Source: RefSeq, a predicted model, not a curated record